GCAGUAGCCGCGGUAAUACGAAGGGUGCAAGCGUUACUCGGAAUUACUGGGCGUAAAGCGUGCGUAGGUGGUGGUUUAAGUCCGUUGUGAAAGCCCUGGGCUCAACCUGGGAAUUGCAGUGGAUACUGGGUCACUAGAGUGUGGUAGAGGAUAGUGGAAUUUCCGGUGUAGCAGUGAAAUGCGUAGAGAUCGGAAGGAACAUCUGUGGCGAAGGCGACUAUCUGGGCCAACACUGACACUGAGACACGAAAGCGUGGGGAGCAAACAGGAUUAGAUACCCGCGUAGUCCCUGUCUCUUAUAC
Molecule: ribosomal RNA, 302 nt
Filed under: uncultured bacterium
Lineage: Bacteria
Description: partial 16S ribosomal RNA
Rfam family: Bacterial small subunit ribosomal RNA
Source: RNAcentral